This 480-nucleotide ribosomal RNA is filed under the name uncultured bacterium. Its description in RNAcentral is "bacterial SSU rRNA". It matches the Rfam family "Bacterial small subunit ribosomal RNA", at positions 28 to 518 of the family's 1533-position model. The record is from RNAcentral.
GAUGAACGCUGGCGGCGUGCUUAACACAUGCAAGUCGAACGAAGAUGCCGGAGUGCUUGCACUUUGGCAGACUGAGUGGCGGACGGGUGAGUAACGCGUGGGUAACCUGCCUUAUACAGGGGGAUAACAGUUGGAAACGACUGCUAAUACCGCAUAAGCGCACGGUAUCGCAUGAUACAGUGUGAAAAACUCCGGUGGUAUAAGAUGGACCCGCGUCUGAUUAGCUUGUUGGUGAGGUAACGGCCCACCAAGACGACGAUCAGUAGCCGGCCUGAGAGGGUGAACGGCCACAUUGGGACUGAGACACGGCCCAAACUCCUACGGGAGGCAGCAGUGGGGAAUAUUGCACAAUGGGGGAAACCCUGAUGCAGCGACGCCGCGUGAGUGAUGAAGUAUUUCGGUAUGUAAAACUCUAUCAGCAGGGAAGAUAAUGACGGUACCUGACUAAGAAGCACCGGCUAAAUACGUGCCAGCAGCCGC